CCUCGAGAUAAUCGAAUCUCCACGAUUAACGACGCCUUUAUGGGUGAUGCUGAAUGCCCGCAAUCUGUACAGAUCCUCCCCCGCUCUCGGAUUGUACGCUUUCUCCGGCAGGCUGUGCACUCGUGGCCUGAUGUGAUCCGGCACUGAAACGUAUCGAUGGACGGUUAAUUAAAACCAACCUAUUAGUUCAACGUAAACAGAUAUAAACGCGCGGACAUUCCAUUAAUUGGAUAGAUAUCUCUUCGCAGAUCUACGUUCUAACUUUUCAAUUUAUUUAUCUUUCAAUCAACUAGUCGAAAUAACGAUUCUCCCUUCGACGAUUUGUUGAUAGGACAAAUAUAUCGUGCACGUGUAUUCGAUCGAUUCGAAGGGAGCAAACAGAUCGAAAGAGAAAAGCGUCUUGAAUUUUUAAUUAUUUGCCUGUCACGAUAUUAACGGAUCGUUUUCGAUUCGCGUUCAACUAUCUAUCUCAUCGAUUCUUCUUUUUUUUCAUUCCUCCCCCUCCCUCCCUUUUCUCUCUUUAGGUUUGGAAAUUUUCCAAUUGCGAAACGAUCCUCGUGAUCAAAGCGACGCGACACGUGGAACACCAGCCAUGCUUCUGCCUUCGAGGGCUUCCCAAUUUCCUGUCCCAACAACUAACUAGCCAACGUCUUUUAUGUCUGCCUGUCAAUUUCCAUACGUGCUUCUUUCUUUCUUUUUUUUUUCCUUUUUUUUUUUUUAUAUAUAACACUCGAAACACAAAGAGAGCAGCGUGUACAUAGGCGGAGGGGGAGGGAAAAAAUGAUACUCCAUUUUUCGUCUCAAUCUCGCGUGAAAAUUCGAUUUAUCUCUGUGCGCAAAUUUCACUCAAAUUUUGUUUGGUUUCAACAAAUGAAACAACCGAACCGUUCCCUUCAGUUUCAAAAACUAACUUUUGUAGCGUACAAUUUUAUUAAACUUUUUCCUAUCCACGUAUCAUCUUCAGGGCCAAUAAUAUUAUUAUAUUGCGCGGGCACAAUAUUUUGUCAGCCGGUCUAUCUCUUCGCAAUCUAUUUCACGUUUCGUGUAUAUUUGAAUAUCAAUCUAUAGAAAUAUGAAACGAUACAGGGAGUUGACGUUUUUAAGGGAUACCCGUGAUCCUGCAUUCAAAGAGACGCUCCGAAACGCGACAGCGACGAAGUAUCAUCGGGUCUCCGCCUUUAUAACUUGACACAAACAGCCGACUUAUAUACAUAUAUAUCACAUAUAUAUCACAUCUCCAUAAAUUACGACAAUUCAAGGAGCAUAGAACGAAUUACAAAUUGUUGAAUUAUAUCUCCUUCGUAUCGAUGUAUUCGGAAUUGGUCCAAGUCGACCGAAUGGCGACAAGAAAGAUGGAAAGAUGGACGAUUGCUCUCGAUUUUCUCCAAUAUUCCAAUUUUGUUGGAUACGACGAGCGACACUUGGCUCGUUGACACAGAAGGACGCUACAGAAGUUCGAAAUGGAGGCCGCGCAGCGUUUGGGCGCAUCGACAAAGGUUGGCUCCACCAUUUAAUGCGGUUACAACUCGACGAGGCACUCAAGAAGUUCGUCUCCCGGACCGAGUAGCUAAUUACGGCGAACGAGGGCGGGUGCAACUUCGCCUCGACGAAAUUAACGGCGAAUUUUCGUCGAUUCCGUGGGAAAUUUCAAUGCCAGAGACCGGACUUGGACGGAACAGAAACGUUCUUCGAUUAAUCAGACGAGAGCUCGGUCCGAUUUUCCUUUCGCUUGAAAUCCUCGACGAAAGGAUAAAACUUUGGCAAAUGUCGAGAUAUACAAGAGAGAGGAAGAGGAAGGGAGAUAAAUCAUAGUUGGCGCACAAUUUAAUUAUCCAUAAUUUAAUUUUAACGAAAAAACACUCGGUGGUUGGGUCGCUCUCGAAGAAACAGCAAUGGUGAAUAAUUAAAUGGAUACGAGAAUGAUAAAUGAAAGAAAGGAUUUCGAGACGUUGGAUGCAACGCGUCUGAUCUGACCCGUCUUACUCUUCUUUCUUUACUCUUCCAACGAGAUGGAAGAGUAUAUGUGUGUGUUGAAGUACGAGUUGACUUUGAACGAGAAGAGAUGCCUGAAACAAAUAACUGUUCCUCCAAAGAGUUCAUUGCUGUUUAUAUUGUGAAUCUUCGUCUUCACUGGUGAUCUUCACUUUUUCCCUCGAAAUUGAGACGUGAUUGAAUUCUCGAUUGAUUCUCCAAAGGAUCUAGGUUAGAUUCUAAUUGAUUUUUGCUUUCGAUGAAUAUUAAUUUUCCUUCCAAUAAUUAUUCUCGACGAAAAAAUGUAAUUAAGAUGGAUUUAGAGAGAACGAAUGGAGGAUGAUUUUCAAAAAACUAUGGGUUAUCGUGUUUGGGGGCCAGGAUCCUUGCAACUGCUUUUCCGAUCGCAAGACACUUGACGCGCGCAAAUAUGAUUUAUGAAGCGGUUUCCAUUACCAUUGCGUUUCAAUAGUUUCUGGAAUACUUGCUAUUAAGAGUUUGGAACAAUAUGAAACUCGUUCGUAAAUUAAGAAGAGAAAUCUUCGCUAAGAAAUUGGAAAGUUAAACUAUUGAGAGUGUUGAAGCUAUUGAAAAAGUGAAAUUCAAACUAUCUUAUUUUAUAGAUAGUGAUUGUCUUUUAUUCUUAACAAUAUAUAUAUAUAUAUAGAAUACGUUUGGAAAAUCAGAUUGUUCAGAUUUCAAAGCAAAGAUUUAUUGAAAGAUUUAUUAUAAACAAUUGAAAAUAUAUUCUUCCUGCACUCUCGAUUGAUAUACCAAUUUUUGUGUUCGUUUUGGCGAAUAUGCAUAUGAAAAAAAUUGCAAUAAUUUUUCUUUUUUAUCGAAUUCAACACAACAUAUAUAUCUGACAAGUGAUGAAAUAAGAAUGUUGCGAUAUUCGUACUCUUGAAAUAUUUACCAGGCGAAUGAAUGAAAAUACGGUACAUUUUUUUUUUUUUUUGCAAACGAUAUUGCACGUGCCGCGAGAAAGAAGAAGAAAAAAAAAACGAUAAAAGUAUUCGACAAAACCUAUCAAAGAACGACUCGCGCAAACGUAUCGUAUCUGACCGUUGCAUCUUGUGUGUGUGUAUAUGUGUGCACUUUCUCGGUCAUUCUUUCCUUUUUGAAAACGAAACUGAAACGUUUUGUUCCCGAUCUAAGGAUUCCUCCCUUUUCACGAAUAUUAUCUCCUAUAUUUUCCUUCUAUAUUCACCGCGUUAAAUAAUACAACUUUUCCUUUAUAGAGGAGAACUCCGCCUGUUAUAUCUCAAGAUUGUCCUUAUUAUAUACUGUGUUAUAAUCCUAUUGUAGGGGGCGAGGAAAAAUGAGAGAACCCGGUGGAAUUUGAAAGCCUGCUCCCUCGCUACAUUAUUGCUCUUUUAUGGCGAAUCCAAUCUCGCGCUAUUAUUUGAAAGAGGGAGAAAGGGAAGAAAAGAAUGACAACAUACGCGUUUUAAAGUCUUACGGGGAAUAGUUAUAUAUAUAGUUGUGUAAGUAUUUGCUUCAAAAUUGGAAAAAAAAAAGAAGAAGAAGAAAAGAAAAAAUGUAUCAUCGACAAUAUAGAAAAUAACUCGAAACCGAACGAAUGCGCCGUUAUCACUAUUAACGUUAACAAUAAACCGAUAAUUUUCAUCGAUUUUCUGUAUCUCUCUAGUCAAUGAGAAUUCAAAAAAUAUUCGUUAUCGCAUCGAUCCGUUUUCCCACCCUUUUUUUCCCUCCGCGAAUCACAGCCAAUUAGCAACGCUUUCUAAUAUCUCCGGUUUUAAUACCGCAUGCUCUGGUCUCCGCGGAUCACUCCACGGGGGAAAAAAAAGGAGAAAGCCUGUCGCGAUAGCUUGUUUACGGAAAGUAUUUGUCCAGCGACGUAAUUAAUUUCCAACCUACUCCUCGAUACUCGAGGGUAAUCCGCCACUUUGAUACGGCUAUAUCGACGCGCAUCGUCGAGAAAAUUGCAGGAUGAGCGAAUCGACAGACAGCAUUGCGAAACAUUGCGACCGAGGACAGGAAACUAUUCUUCGCGUUCCUUCUCUUUACGGCGACAUUCACGGAUUCCUCGAUGGAAAGUUGCUCUCGAGAUCGAAAAAAAAGAAACGUUUUCGAUGUGAAAUGGACGUUGAACACGCGAAACUUUCGCGAUCGUAUCUAAGAAAAGUGGAAACAAAUCUAUGGGACGGGAUGGAUACUUUUUUCCAUUUUUCUUCCCUUUCUUUUUUCUUUCCCCUUCCUGUUAAACAGCGACGUUUUGACGAAUGAACGGCACUUAGGUAUCGAUAAGAAGAGAAAAAACCAGAGAGCGAAGGGAGGAAGCGAUUUCUUCUGUCAAGAUGAGGAGGGGGAGAGGGAGUGGAUCGUUCGAAUGCAUCAAGUUGAGCACGCGUGCACAUUUAUUUCGGUUUGACGGAGAGGAGAGACCUCGUUUCGAAUUGUGCAUUGAAAGUUUAAACGAGGGCGAGCCGCGGUACUGCGUCGUCGACGCUUCCGAUACGUUUCAAUGUAAACAGCAAGGCGCGAUUAAAAAAUACCGGUAACAAUA
RNAcentral lists this long non-coding RNA (4501 nucleotides) under Apis mellifera (honey bee). RNAcentral's name for it is "uncharacterized LOC107964271". The record is from RNAcentral. Lineage: Eukaryota; Metazoa; Arthropoda; Insecta; Hymenoptera; Apidae.